CCUGUUUAUCAAAAACAUAGCCAUAAGCAUACAUUUAUGGUUAGACCUGCCCAAUGUGAAAGAUGAAUGGCCGCGGUACUCUGACCGUGCUAAGGUAGCGUAAUCAGUUGGCUUUUAAAUGGAGUCAGGAAUGAAUGGAUUAACCGGGUUUAGCUGUCUCUAAGUUAUUAUUUUGAAUUUACUGUCUAAGUGAAAAAGCUUAGUAAUAGAAAAGGGACGAGAAGACCCUUAGAAUUUUUUCUAAAAUAAGUGUGUUUUUGAAAAAGAUUACUUUUAAUGAUUUUAUUGGGGCGAUAAGGAAAUAUAUCAUAACUUUCUUUUAUCAGACACGCCGAUUAUAUUAAGACAGGAUAAAUUACCUGAGGGAUAACAGCAUAAUCUUAUAAAUGAGUUUGUGACCUCGAUGUUGGACUAGGAAACUAACAAGCUAGGCGUUUGUUGUGUGGGUUCUGUUCGAACUUUAAAUCCUACAUGAUCUGAGUUCAAACCG
This 490-nucleotide ribosomal RNA is filed under the name Myrella challengeriana. RNAcentral describes it as "partial large subunit ribosomal RNA". It matches the Rfam family "Bacterial large subunit ribosomal RNA", at positions 1799 to 2618 of the family's 2925-position model. The record is from RNAcentral. Lineage: Eukaryota; Metazoa; Mollusca; Gastropoda; Nudibranchia; Tritoniidae.